GGUUGUGGUUCAGCGGUAGAGCACUUGCCUAGAAUGUGGGAGGUUUUGGGUUCCAUCCUCAGCACCG
Molecule: transfer RNA, 67 nt
Filed under: Marmota monax (woodchuck)
Lineage: Eukaryota; Metazoa; Chordata; Mammalia; Rodentia; Sciuridae
Description: tRNA.Ser
Source: RNAcentral